Oncorhynchus kisutch (coho salmon) is the source of this 1021-nucleotide long non-coding RNA. RefSeq lists it as uncharacterized. The transcript has 5 exons. The record is from RefSeq and is a predicted model, not a curated record. Lineage: Eukaryota; Metazoa; Chordata; Actinopteri; Salmoniformes; Salmonidae.
CUUUAAAAGGAGAGGUGGAAGAGGUAGACCAUAACUUACAGACAACAGAGAGACAACCAGUGAAUCCUUUGGAAGAGUGCAGAAGACCAUCAUGGCGCUAUUGACUGUCAUUCUGCUUGUCAGCACAGCUUUUUCUCUGGGCGAUGCUACGAAAGGACCCAAGACCCCCCGUGAACCUCCUAUAAAUACUGUGAAAAAUGGCCCGCCUGGAGACUACGGCUCCACGUGCGACUGCCAGGGAGAAUACACUCCUGAGCACCACUGGGGCUCUACAGGUUCCUCUUCGUGUCUUACCAGAACUGGAUGGACUAUCCCGGAAACUCAUCCUGGCACUCCACCAAUCAAAUGUGCAUGCAGUGGUGCUUGCAGAUGAAAGGUGUUUGAAGAGAAGAAAUACAUUGAUGGGCUGUCUUUAGUGUACUAUGGGACAUAUACAUGAAGAAAUACAUUGAUGGGCUCUUUAGUGUACUAUGGGACAUAUACAUGAAGAAAUCCAGAGAUACCGUUGUUGCAUUACAUUUAUUGGUUUGAUUUGCCGAAUAGUUUAGCUGAGCAUUUCUGGCACAUGGAGGAAUGAAUUGGGCUAUUAUGAUGAACCGUAUGACCACCACACCUGUCAUGAAGGCAGUCAAAUUCCAUGUGACCACUUCGUCAUGGUAACUGGGCUUUAACAAGCUAUUGUGCUGCUGAUGGUCAUGCGUAGUCUACUAUACUUCCUGGUACUCAGCACUUUAUUGCCCUCUAAUUGCUAUCAAUGUAAUUGCAAAUCAACUAUUGAUCAUGUACAUGUGAUUAGCAGAUUUAUUUUAUUGUGGGUGUAGUGAAAUGCUUGUGCAUAUAGCUCUGAUAGCUCUGACAGCCCAGUAGUAUCUAACCAAUUACACGUGUUACACCGGUAGGACUGACUUAAGACUAUCGUUCAGUAAUUUUGUAAUCGAUGUUCAUAAAUUCCAAUUAUCUAUCUGAUGCCCAGAGGUUGUAAAGUUCUGGUCUUAAAUAAAAAACUGAAUUCCCAACUCAC